This 252-nucleotide ribosomal RNA is filed under the name uncultured bacterium. RNAcentral's name for it is "partial 16S ribosomal RNA". It matches the Rfam family "Bacterial small subunit ribosomal RNA", at positions 524 to 776 of the family's 1533-position model. The record is from RNAcentral.
UACGUAGGGGGCUAGCGUUAUCCGGAAUUACUGGGCGUAAAGGGUGCGUAGGUGGUUUCUUAAGUCAGAGGUGAAAGGCUACGGCUCAACCGUAGUAAGCUUUUGAAACUGGGGAACUUGAGUGCAGGAGAGGAGAGUGGAAUUCCUAGUGUAGCGGUGAAAUGCGUAGAUAUUAGGAGGAACACCAGUUGCGAAGGCGGCUCUCUGGACUGUAACUGACACUGAGGCACGAAAGCGUGGGGAGCAAACAGG